Molecule: ribosomal RNA, 497 nt
Filed under: uncultured bacterium
Lineage: Bacteria
Description: partial 16S ribosomal RNA
Rfam family: Bacterial small subunit ribosomal RNA
Source: RNAcentral
GAUGAACGCUGGCGGCGUGCCUAAUACAUGCAAGUCGAGCGAACGGACGAGAAGCUUGCUUCUCUGAUGUUAGCGGCGGACGGGUGAGUAACACGUGGAUAACCUACCUAUAAGACUGGGAUAACUUCGGGAAACCGGAGCUAAUACCGGAUGAUAUUUUGAACCGCAUGGUUCAAAAGUGAAAGACGGUCUUGCUGUCACUUAUAGAUGUAUCCUCGCUGCAUUAGCUAGUUGGUAAGGUAACGGCUUACCAAGGCAACGAUGCAUAGCCGACCUGAGAGGGUGAUCGGCCACACUGGAACUGAGACACGGUCCAGACUCCUACGGGAGGCAGCAGUAGGGAAUCUUCCGCAAUGGGCGAAAGCCUGACGGAGCAACGCCGCGUGAGUGAUGAAGGUCUUCGGAUCGUAAAACUCUGUUAUUAGGGAAGAACAUAUGUGUAAGUAACUGUGCACAUCUUGACGGUACCUAAUCAGAAAGCCACGGCUAACUACGUG